UGUCUCCGUGCCGGCGGGCUGGAAUGGUUCUAUCUUCCCAGUGGAGUUCCAGGAUUCCAUGAGUGCAGCAGGUUUAGACAUCGACAAGGCAGGCGAAGAAAACGAAGACGGAGAUGGAGAUGGAGACAGAUACGAGGUGUCCUCUGAAACUACGAGUGGCUAGAAUAGACACAGAGGGUUAGGAUUGGGAAAGCACCUGAUGAGAGGGAGAUGAACCCUGACAGGAAGACAACUCUUGAAUAAUCUGUGCGCGCUUACGCAGAGAAGGGGGAUGGCAUGUUGUCAAUCCCAAAAUUGGCACAAGUUUUGAUUCAUUGGAAGAGGCUUAUGAGUUCUACAACCUAUACUCAUGGGAAACUGGGUUUGGGUUUUGCACGAUCUGCAGAGUGCAGGGCCACAAGGGUGCAACUUGCCCCCAAAGAGGUGAUGUGCCGAAGGCUCCAAGGAAAUUAUCGAAAUUCACAAACUGUGGGGUGGUCGGCCAUCGUUGCAAUGCUUGCGGCGCUAAAAAGAGCGGUCCAUUCGAACCAAACUUCCUCUAGACUAAGGAUUGAUGUGCUGAUCCUUUGUAAUGUUUCUUCCCAGAAAAUCCCAAAUGGUGCAAACUUUGUCUUUCUUGUAGUGGAACAACUUGCCUGAACUGAUUGUGAUGUUCCAGCUGGUUUACUUU
This is a long non-coding RNA of Aegilops tauschii subsp. strangulata, 670 nucleotides long. RefSeq lists it as uncharacterized. Lineage: Eukaryota; Viridiplantae; Streptophyta; Magnoliopsida; Poales; Poaceae. The record is from RefSeq and is a predicted model, not a curated record.